GGUCAAGUGAAGAAGCGCAUACGGUGGAUGCCUUGGCAGUCAGAGGCGAUGAAAGACGUGGUAGCCUGCGAAAAGCUUCGGGGAGUCGGCAAACAGACUUUGAUCCGGAGAUCUCUGAAUGGGGGAACCCACCUAGGAUAACCUAGGUAUCUUGUACUGAAUCCAUAGGUGCAAGAGGCGAACCAGGGGAACUGAAACAUCUAAGUACCCUGAGGAAAAGAAAUCAACCGAGAUUCCCUUAGUAGUGGCGAGCGAACGGGGAUUAGCCCUUAAGCUUCAUUGAUUUUAGCGGAACGCUCUGGAAAGUGCGGCCAUAGUGGGUGAUAGCCCCGUACGCGAAAGGAUCUUUGAAGUGAAAUCGAGUAGGACGGAGCACGAGAAACUUUGUCUGAACAUGGGGGGACCAUCCUCCAAGGCUAAAUACUACUGACUGACCGAUAGUGAACCAGUACCGUGAGGGAAAGGCGAAAAGAACCCCGGAGAGGGGAGUGAAAUAGAACCUGAAACCGUAUGCGUACAAGCAGUGGGAGCCUACUUGUUAGGUGACUGCGUACCUUUUGUAUAAUGGGUCAGCGACUUAUAUUCAGUGGCAAGCUUAACCGUAUAGGGUAGGCGUAGCGAAAGCGAGUCUUAAUAGGGCGUUUAGUCGCUGGGUAUAGACCCGAAACCGGGCGAUCUAUCCAUGAGCAGGUUGAAGGUUAGGUAACACUGACUGGAGGACCGAACCCACUCCCGUUGAAAAGGUAGGGGAUGACUUGUGGAUCGGAGUGAAAGGCUAAUCAAGCUCGGAGAUAGCUGGUUCUCCUCGAAAGCUAUUUAGGUAGCGCCUCAUGUAUCACUCUGGGGGGUAGAGCACUGUUUCGGCUAGGGGGUCAUCCCGACUUACCAAACCGAUGCAAACUCCGAAUACCCAGAAGUGCCGAGCAUGGGAGACACACGGCGGGUGCUAACGUCCGUCGUGAAAAGGGAAACAACCCAGACCGCCAGCUAAGGUCCCAAAGUUGUGGUUAAGUGGUAAACGAUGUGGGAAGGCUUAGACAGCUAGGAGGUUGGCUUAGAAGCAGCCACCCUUUAAAGAAAGCGUAAUAGCUCACUAGUCGAGUCGGCCUGCGCGGAAGAUGUAACGGGGCUCAAACCACACACCGAAGCUGCGGGUGUCACGUAAGUGACGCGGUAGAGGAGCGUUCUGUAAGCCUGUGAAGGUGAGUUGAGAAGCUUGCUGGAGGUAUCAGAAGUGCGAAUGCUGACAUGAGUAACGACAAUGGGUGUGAAAAACACCCACGCCGAAAGACCAAGGGUUCCUGCGCAACGUUAAUCGACGCAGGGUUAGUCGGUUCCUAAGGCGAGGCUGAAAAGCGUAGUCGAUGGGAAACAGGUUAAUAUUCCUGUACUUCUGGUUACUGCGAUGGAGGGACGGAGAAGGCUAGGCCAGCUUGGCGUUGGUUGUCCAAGUUUAAGGUGGUAGGCUGAAAUCUUAGGUAAAUCCGGGGUUUCAAGGCCGAGAGCUGAUGACGAGUCGUCUUUUAGAUGACGAAGUGGUUGAUGCCAUGCUUCCAAGAAAAGCUUCUAAGCUUCAGGUAACCAGGAACCGUACCCCAAACCGACACAGGUGGUCGGGUAGAGAAUACCAAGGCGCUUGAGAGAACUCGGGUGAAGGAACUAGGCAAAAUGGCACCGUAACUUCGGGAGAAGGUGCGCCGGCUAGGGUGAAGGAUUUACUCCGUAAGCUCUGGCUGGUCGAAGAUACCAGGCCGCUGCGACUGUUUAUUAAAAACACAGCACUCUGCAAACACGAAAGUGGACGUAUAGGGUGUGACGCCUGCCCGGUGCCGGAAGGUUAAUUGAUGGGGUUAGCGCAAGCGAAGCUCUUGAUCGAAGCCCCGGUAAACGGCGGCCGUAACUAUAACGGUCCUAAGGUAGCGAAAUUCCUUGUCGGGUAAGUUCCGACCUGCACGAAUGGCGUAACGAUGGCGGCGCUGUCUCCACCCGAGACUCAGUGAAAUUGAAAUCGCUGUGAAGAUGCAGUGUAUCCGCGGCUAGACGGAAAGACCCCGUGAACCUUUACUGUAGCUUUGCACUGGACUUUGAGCCUGCUUGUGUAGGAUAGGUGGGAGGCUUUGAAGCGUGGACGCCAGUUCGCGUGGAGCCAUCCUUGAAAUACCACCCUGGCAUGCUUGAGGUUCUAACUCUGGUCCGUAAUCCGGAUCGAGGACAGUGUAUGGUGGGCAGUUUGACUGGGGCGGUCUCCUCCUAAAGAGUAACGGAGGAGUACGAAGGUGCGCUCAGACCGGUCGGAAAUCGGUCGCAGAGUAUAAAGGCAAAAGCGCGCUUGACUGCGAGACAGACACGUCGAGCAGGUACGAAAGUAGGUCUUAGUGAUCCGGUGGUUCUGUAUGGAAGGGCCAUCGCUCAACGGAUAAAAGGUACUCCGGGGAUAACAGGCUGAUACCGCCCAAGAGUUCAUAUCGACGGCGGUGUUUGGCACCUCGAUGUCGGCUCAUCACAUCCUGGGGCUGAAGCCGGUCCCAAGGGUAUGGCUGUUCGCCAUUUAAAGUGGUACGCGAGCUGGGUUUAGAACGUCGUGAGACAGUUCGGUCCCUAUCUGCCGUGGACGUUUGAGAUUUGAGAGGGGCUGCUCCUAGUACGAGAGGACCGGAGUGGACGAACCUCUGGUGUUCCGGUUGUCACGCCAGUGGCAUUGCCGGGUAGCUAUGUUCGGAAAAGAUAACCGCUGAAAGCAUCUAAGCGGGAAACUUGCCUCAAGAUGAGAUCUCACUGGGAACUUGAUUCCCCUGAAGGGCCGUCGAAGACUACGACGUUGAUA
This 2824-nucleotide ribosomal RNA is filed under the name Pseudomonas aeruginosa. RNAcentral describes it as "partial 23S ribosomal RNA". It matches the Rfam family "Bacterial large subunit ribosomal RNA". Lineage: Bacteria; Pseudomonadati; Pseudomonadota; Gammaproteobacteria; Pseudomonadales; Pseudomonadaceae. The record is from RNAcentral.